Molecule: transfer RNA, 59 nt
Filed under: Salmonella enterica
Lineage: Bacteria; Pseudomonadati; Pseudomonadota; Gammaproteobacteria; Enterobacterales; Enterobacteriaceae
Also listed under: 4 other names
Description: tRNA-Asp
Rfam family: tRNA
About the family: Transfer RNA (tRNA) molecules are approximately 80 nucleotides in length. Their secondary structure includes four short double-helical elements and three loops (D, anti-codon, and T loops).
Source: RNAcentral
AGUUCAGUUGGUUAGAAUACCUGCCUGUCACGCAGGGGGUCGCGGGUUCGAGUCCCGUC